This 76-nucleotide transfer RNA is filed under the name Metallibacterium scheffleri. RNAcentral describes it as "tRNA-Lys". It matches the Rfam family "tRNA". Rfam says of the family: Transfer RNA (tRNA) molecules are approximately 80 nucleotides in length. Their secondary structure includes four short double-helical elements and three loops (D, anti-codon, and T loops). Further hydrogen bonds mediate the characteristic L-shaped molecular structure. tRNAs have two regions of fundamental functional importance: the anti-codon, which is responsible for specific mRNA codon recognition, and the 3' end, to which the tRNAs corresponding amino acid is attached (by aminoacyl-tRNA synthetases). tRNAs cope with the degeneracy of the genetic code in two manners: having more than one tRNA (with a specific anti-codon) for a particular amino acid; and 'wobble' base-pairing, i.e. permitting non-standard base-pairing at the 3rd anti-codon position. Lineage: Bacteria; Pseudomonadati; Pseudomonadota; Gammaproteobacteria; Lysobacterales; Rhodanobacteraceae. RNAcentral also lists the same sequence under 4 other names. The record is from RNAcentral.
GGGCCGUUAGCUCAAUUGGUAGAGCAGCGGACUCUUAAUCCGUAGGUUGAAGGUUCAAGUCCUUCACGGCCCACCA